AAGGAAAGGUGCACAGUUAGUUCCCAUGGAAAUGCUGACAAUUUGUUGAAAAAGUAAGUGUUGACCAAAAUGUUUUUCUUUUUAUUUUAGAAGAAAUUCACAUCAUGUUCUUCAUUAUUUUUUAGCAACUCUGAGUCUGUGCAUAUGUACAUGGAAUAACCCUGUAACAUUUAAAUUGUAUCAAAUUUACUUGUUUACAUUUGUCCUGACAUGGACUUUCUUGUGACAGAUAAGUUCUAUGUUUUCAUUGGCAUCUGUUAAACAGUAGUUACCAGUAUCAUCUAACUGUGAUUUAUAAGCAUCCUUAGCUAGAUUUUUCUUCACUUCCUGCAGUUAAGUUCAAACUCAUAUACUCUGUUAAACUUUGAACUUCUAAAUAGUCAUAAAAAAAAAGAAUGGCUUCUCAUGAUAUUAAUGUACAAAUAAGAUAUGACAUGUCUACUUCUUUAGAAUCUGUACACUGACUCAGGAUCUGUUAUUGACACUAUACUUAUGAUGGAUGGAUAAGUAUAGAAGUAUUAAGACAUAAAAUUGAAUAUCCUUAAAUGAAUUGGUAAUUGACAUGUUUCCAUUGAUUAAGCAAUCUGUCUAAUCAAUUAAGACCUGAUGAAUACCAAAACUAUGGUUCAAAUAAGGUUCAGAGCUGAAAGGUUGGCCUGGAGAAAAAAUAUACUUUGCAGUAAUUCUAUUUGAAUUUUAAAUGCUUUUAUGUAAAAAAGAAAGAUUUUGCUGUUUAUUGAAAAUGAAUGAAUAGUUCAUGCCUAUGGUUAUGUUUUUAAAAAGCUGCAAUCUAAGUUGCUGAAGAAAAUAGAUCAUAAGUGCCCACUGACUAGUAGGUACUGCUUUUUUGUUGUUGGGUUGUUUUCUCAUUGACAUUAAACAAACAUCUCCAUUUACCCAGUUGUCAGAGUUUUAAAACUAUAAGACCAUUGAUAUUACAAAACAUAUUUUGUCAAAUUGUAUGCUCAUUACCAUACAGAUUUAAUCAUGCAAAGCUGAGCUCCCUUUUCAUGCAUUAGACAUAUGCUGAAUCAUAAAUGAUGUGCUAUAGCUAUUACAUAUUUAUGUCCUCUGCACAUGAGGUGUGAAAAGAGAGAUAAAAAAAGGUGUCAUUGGUUAGUGCUAAAACAUAUCUUAAUCUGGUUUUAACAUACAGUUUUUCCCUUUCAUCUCAAAUUUUAGCUUAUGAUUUAUCAGAAGUUCUUAGUUUCUAAUGUAAAAUUUGAUAUUGGAGUCUGAGACAGGCCCAGAUAUUCAACUUGGAGUAUGACAAUCUAUCAAUGAAUUAAGUAUGAUUCCUGAAUCUUUUUGUUGCUCUUUAGUACUAGCUGAACAAUGACAUGAUUCUAUAGAAAAUUAUUUUUUAUCAUCAAUCAGGACUUGGGCCAUAAAAUACUUAACUUGAUGAAACAAAUUCCCUAGAACAUAAUAAAAAUGCAUUAUUUACUAUUGUAAAAGCCAAAUUAAGAACUCUAAGGUGAUAUUGUUGUCUUUCUUUUGAACUAUAUUCUUUUACAAUCAACUAUUUGAUUUCCCUGUGCUAUUUUAAGAUUAUUGAAAAUGAUAUAUGAGUUUAUAACCUGUCAUGUUUUUCUUAGUCUUGCUUUUAGAAUUAAAACAUAUAGACUUAAAGCAGCAAUCACAUGCACAGUAUUCCAAAAACUGUGCGGGCAGAGCUCUUUAUUGGUAUUAAUCAUAUCGUUGAAGUAAAAUAUAAUACUUCCAUGAUCAUAUUAACUACAUGUAGUUUCUUAAAAGACUUUCAUUGCUGAGUUAAAGACCUAACACUUGAAUAACAAUAUUCAAAGGACCUGAAAAAGAAGCAUUCAAUACUUAAUGAAUAUCAAAAGCUAUGUUACUUUCAUGUCCUUUGAAUAUUUUUACUCUGCAAUGUAAAUUCAUUUAUUUUCAUGGGUACCAAUUUUCGUGGAUUGAGAUAAACUUGCACUUUCAUGGAUUUAAGAUCAUGUUUUUGCAAAGUGUGCAUGUAUUCCUUUAAGAAAGUUUUAAUUCGUUGAACAUAUAAAUUCUUGGUUCUACUGUACCCAUGAAAUCAGCCAAAAAAUUGGUAUCCAGUGAAAAUUAAUGCACCCAUAGUAAUCAGUAAAAUGUUAAUCUGCUACUUGUUGAUUGUCAAAAUGAUAAUUAAAGCAGUCUUGAUAGCAGUUGUUUAAAAGUUCACCUGUUAAUUGAUAAAUCAUGGAUGUUUUUUUUUUUUUUUCAAAGAUGCAUCAGUAGUUCAGUGAAUAGCAGCAUACUUUUAUGUCAGUAGGAGCCCUUGAUUUUCCUGUAUGGUAGGAUUCUGCCUUAUGUUCAUUGGUGAAAACCUAUCAGCAAUUGUCAAGAUAAAGAACAGGGGUAAAUGUACAGUUCCUUAGUAAAAUAUAUUGUCAUUCAAUUGUAGUGUAUGGGAUAGUCAGCACCAAAUACCUCCAACAGGCCAUUUAAGCAACCAAAAAUCAAUCAAUCAACCAAAAGUACCACUAAAAAAAAUUAGGACUGAGAUACAAAGAAAACAAUUGUCCAGACCUUUUACUAAAAAAAUAUCUUGUAAGUUGAAACACUUCUUACUUUGCUUAAAUCUUGAUCAUGCAGUGAAAUGAAAAAAGGUCAAAGGAGUAAAAACAAAAACGCAAUUUUAGAAAACCAUUACGCUACAAAAGUGUAAUUUUAAUUACAUAAAAAAAGAAGAAGAAAAAACAAAGUGCAAUUAAAAUAAUACUAAGUGAAAUUAUAUCCCAAAAAUGCUUACAGUUACUGAAAUCAACUCAAAAGAAGAUAAUGUUAGUAUUAUAAAUGAACAA
This 2804-nucleotide long non-coding RNA is filed under the name Mytilus galloprovincialis (Mediterranean mussel). The record is from RNAcentral. Lineage: Eukaryota; Metazoa; Mollusca; Bivalvia; Mytilida; Mytilidae.